GCAUUUAAGUGUCCUGGACUUCUUAG
This 26-nucleotide non-coding RNA is filed under the name Mus musculus (house mouse). The record is from RNAcentral. Lineage: Eukaryota; Metazoa; Chordata; Mammalia; Rodentia; Muridae.